Molecule: ribosomal RNA, 485 nt
Filed under: uncultured bacterium
Lineage: Bacteria
Description: bacterial SSU rRNA
Rfam family: Bacterial small subunit ribosomal RNA
Source: RNAcentral
GAUGAACGCUAGCGGCAGGCUUAAUACAUGCAAGUCGUACGGGAUCCGAGGUAGCAAUACUUGGUGAGAGUGGCGCACGGGUGCGUAACACGUAUGCAACCUACCUAUAACCGGGACACAACCUCGAGAAAUUGAAGGCUAAUAUCCCAUAACACUGCGAGAUGGCAUCAUUUUGCAGUUAAAACUCCGGUGGUUAUAGAUGGGCAUGCGCGACAUUAGCUAGUUGGUGAGGUAACGGCCCACCAAGGCUACGAUGUCUAGGGGUUCUGAGAGGAUUAUCCCCCACACUGGUACUGAGACACGGACCAGACUCCUACGGGAGGCAGCAGUAAGGAAUAUUGGUCAAUGGGCGCAAGCCUGAACCAGCCAUGCCGCGUGAAGGAUGACGGCCCUAUGGGUUGUAAACUUCUUUUGUACGGGAAAAAACCUCUGGUCGUGAAUCAGAGCUGAUGGUACCGUAAGAAUAAGCAUCGGCUAACUCCGUG